AGAACAUGGAGUUUCCACC
RNAcentral lists this small nuclear RNA (19 nucleotides) under Arabidopsis thaliana (thale cress). RNAcentral describes it as "snRNA_09800". Lineage: Eukaryota; Viridiplantae; Streptophyta; Magnoliopsida; Brassicales; Brassicaceae. The record is from RNAcentral.